CCUACGGGAGGCUGCAGUGGGGAAUCUUGCGCAAUGGGCGAAAGCCUGACGCAGCGACGCCGCGUGAGUGAUGAAGGCCUUCGGGUUGUAAAGCUCUGUUGGGAGAGACGAAUAAGUGCGGGCUAAUACUCCGCAUGAUGACGGUAUCUCCUUAGCAAGCACCUGCUAACUCUGUGCCAGCAGCCGCGGUAAGACAGAGGGUGCAAACGUGGGUCGGAAUUACUGGGCGUAGGGCGUGUAUAGGGGGCCAGAAAGCCCUGGGCUCAACCCAGGAAGUGCACUCGAUACUGCAUGGCUUGAGUACCGGAGAGGUUGGUGGAAUUCUCGGUGUAGGGGUGAAAUUCGUAGAUAGCGAGAGGAACACCGGUGGCGAAGGCGGCCAACUGGACGGAUACUGACGCUGAGACACGAAAGCGUGGGGAGCAAACAGGAUUAGAUACCCGAGUAGUC
Molecule: ribosomal RNA, 450 nt
Filed under: uncultured bacterium
Lineage: Bacteria
Description: partial 16S ribosomal RNA
Rfam family: Bacterial small subunit ribosomal RNA
Source: RNAcentral